AUGAACGCUGGCGGCGUGCCUAAUACAUGCAAGUCGAGCGAACGGACAAGAAGCUUGCUUCUCUGAUGUUAGCGGCGGACGGGUGAGUAACACGUGGAUAACCUACCUAUAAGACUGGGAUAACUUCGGGAAACCGGAGCUAAUACCGGAUAAUAUUUUGAACCGCAUGGUUCAAAAGUGAAAGACGGUCUUGCUGUCACUUAUAGAUGGAUCCGCGCUGCAUUAGCUAGUUGGUAAGGUAACGGCUUACCAAGGCAACGAUGCAUAGCCGACCUGAGAGGGGGGUCGGCCACACUGGAACUGAGACACGGUCCAGACUCCUACGGGAGGCAGCAGUAGGGAAUCUUCCGCAAUGGGCGAAAGCCUGACGGAGCAACGCCGCGUGAGUGAUGAAGGUCUUCGGAUCGUAAAACUCUGUUAUUAGGGAAGAACAUAUGUGUAAGUAACUGUGCACAUCUUGACGGUACCGAAUCAGAAAGCCACGGCUAACUACGU
RNAcentral lists this ribosomal RNA (495 nucleotides) under uncultured bacterium. Its description in RNAcentral is "partial 16S ribosomal RNA". It matches the Rfam family "Bacterial small subunit ribosomal RNA", at positions 29 to 506 of the family's 1533-position model. The record is from RNAcentral.